CAGUGAGUGAAACAGAACAGAUUUUCCAUUUCCUCUCUGGGAACGGUGCCCUUUAAAAAGAAUAGGAAGACAUUCUCAAGGUAGCAAGUGGAGGACUGAGAGUCAUUUACAUUGCCUGUCCUAGGAGAAAUGGCUUAUUUUGGACCCCAAGCUUGUGAAACAGGGCAUUUUGGAUAGAUCCAUGUGUGAGACAGAUUCUAAUUCUAGUUAGGCUCACUGUGGGCAAUUGCAUAGGGAUCCUUGUACUACCAGACUGGGGCUGAGAGCCUCAAGGUUUGUAAAUAAGCCCUGUGGUUCUGGCCAUUUUACUUGUCCUUUAGAGAGAACCACUAAUGCCCUUCCAACCUCAUAAUGAUUGCGGCGAGGAAUAUCAACAAGGAAAUCUCCGUUCAACAGAAGAGAGCUUUGAGGAAAGAGAAGCUAAGAAAGGGAGUAAAUAUGCAUUUACUUAUCAGUUGGCUUUGAACUUGGAAUAGAAAAGGAACAUGAUUACUCUAAAACCUCAGUCUCAAACUCAAAAAGCCGUUAAAAAAGAAAACAAUAAAUAAAACUUCUAUCAAGUCUCAAGACUUCUCUCAUCAUUGAAAGUCACGGUAAAAUCUUUUACUUUCCAUCUCCCAACCUUUAUACUGAUAUUCCUUGUUUGGCACUUACUUAUUGCCAUGUGUAUUUACAGAUUUAGAUGUAUGAGGUAGUCUCCUUUAGAGUGUGAACUUUUUGAAGGAAGACAAUCUUUUAGUCAUCUUUGAAAACCUAAAGUACUUUCCAGGGUAAAUGCUCAGCACGUGUUGAGUGGUAUCAGCUGGGCUGAACAGCUCUCUAAUGAUUACUACAAACCAGUUCCUGAUAUAGUGACUUAUCUUAAAUAAUAAUGUUAAUGAAUUUGUUUUGUACUUUACAGUUUUCACACUGUACAUCGAAUGACAUGACUUACCUUAUUUAAUCUUUAAAGAAUCCCAGGAGACAAGCAGAACAAAUAUUUCUAUCUUAGAUGUGACAAAAAGAUCUCAGAGAGAGGAAUUGCUUUCUUAGGAUCAUGGUGCUUAUAAAUAACAAAAUCCAGAACUUCUAAUUCCUGGGAGGUAACUCUUUUAUUUUUCCACAACUGCUUCUUGCAUGAAGGUGAGACCCACAAGUGACCUUCCAGAAAUGUAAAUAAUCCAACAGCAUUAGAAAAUAUGUGACAUUUCCAAGGCACUAGUUGAAAUUUGAUGUGAAAUUCCAUCUGACAUGUUUGUAAAGCUUUAAUUAUUUAAUCAAUUUAAUACCACAAUAUUUAAAGCAGCAACAAAAAUCACUGGGCAUAACCAAUUUCAUCCAUAAAUCAGACAUUUUGCACCUCAAUUUUUUACUCUCAUUUCUGUUUUGUGAACUAAUUGGCA
This 1382-nucleotide long non-coding RNA is filed under the name Macaca mulatta (Rhesus monkey). RNAcentral describes it as "lncRNA (ENSMMUG00000038386.2)". The record is from RNAcentral. Lineage: Eukaryota; Metazoa; Chordata; Mammalia; Primates; Cercopithecidae.